This 440-nucleotide ribosomal RNA is filed under the name uncultured bacterium. RNAcentral's name for it is "partial 16S ribosomal RNA". It matches the Rfam family "Bacterial small subunit ribosomal RNA", at positions 338 to 795 of the family's 1533-position model. The record is from RNAcentral.
CCUACGGGUGGCAGCAGUGGGGAAUAUUGCACAAUGGGGGAAACCCUGAUGCAGCGACGCCGCGUGAGUGAAGAAGUAUUUCGGUACGUAAAGCUCUAUCAGCAGGGAAGAAAAUGACGGUACCUGACUAAGAAGCCCCGGCUAACUACGUGCCAGCAGCCGCGGUAAUACGUAGGGGGCAAGCGUUAUCCGGAUUUACUGGGUGUAAAGGGAGCGUAGACGGCAGCGCAAGUCUGGAGUGAAAUCCCAUGGCUUAACCAUGGAACUGCUUUGGAAACUGUGCAGCUAGAGUGCAGGAGAGGUAAGCGGAAUGCCUAGUGUAGCGGUGAAAUGCGUAGAUAUUAGGCGGAACACCAGUGGCGAAGGCGGCUUACUGGACUGUAACUGACGUUGAGGCUCGAAAGCGUGGGGAGCAAACAGGAUUAGAUACCCGGGUAGUC